ACUGGCCCGGAUAAUCCACCGCUGGCCGUGAGCUUCGCUACACUCCUCCCUUCUUCCCAAACCUCGCCCGGGCGCGCUCUCCCCUACGUUGGGAGGGCUCAGGUACAUAGUUGGAUGAGAUGUCCUGUGAGAAGGAAUGCAUAUAACAGAAAGUGAGGCAAAAGAGCAAGAAAGAGGUAAGAGUAGAAGUGAAGUUUCAUCGUACUAACACGUGCCAUGUUUUAGGUUUUGUUCUUUUCUUCAGUUUGCUGAGAUUCACAUUUGAUUAAUUUCAUGUAAAUUAGAGUGUGAUGGUGGCAAAUUUAAACACAUUUUAAUCAAAUAUAUUUAUUAAUCACACAAAAUAACAACCCUCUCUAAAAGUAUGUU
This 369-nucleotide long non-coding RNA is filed under the name Suricata suricatta (meerkat). Its description in RNAcentral is "lncRNA (ENSSSUG00005004974.1)". The record is from RNAcentral. Lineage: Eukaryota; Metazoa; Chordata; Mammalia; Carnivora; Herpestidae.